RNAcentral lists this ribosomal RNA (439 nucleotides) under uncultured bacterium. RNAcentral describes it as "partial 16S ribosomal RNA". It matches the Rfam family "Bacterial small subunit ribosomal RNA", at positions 339 to 795 of the family's 1533-position model. The record is from RNAcentral.
CUACGGGGCGCUGCAGUGAGGAAUAUUGCACAAUGGGGGGAACCCUGAUGCAGCAACGCCGCGUGGAGGAUGACGCAUUUCGGUGUGUAAACUCCUUUUAUAUGUCAAGAAAAUGACGGUAGCAUAUGAAUAAGCAUCGGCUAACUCCGUGCCAGCAGCCGCGGUAAUACGGAGGGUGCAAGCGUUACUCGGAAUCACUGGGCGUAAGGGACGCGUAGGCGGGUUGGAAAGUCAGGUGUGAAAUCCUACAGCUUAACUGUAGAACUGCACUUGAAACUUCUAAUCUAGAGUAUGGGAGGGAGAGAUGGAAUUAGUGGUGUAGGGGUAAAAUCCGUAGAUAUCACUAGGAAUACCGAAAGCGAAGGCGAUCUCCUGGAACAUUACUGACGCUAAGGCGUGAAAGCGUGGGGAGCAAACAGGAUUAGAUACCCUUGUAGUC